This 1025-nucleotide ribosomal RNA is filed under the name Simplicillium formicae. Its description in RNAcentral is "SSU rRNA". It matches the Rfam family "Eukaryotic small subunit ribosomal RNA", at positions 71 to 1107 of the family's 1831-position model. The record is from RNAcentral. Lineage: Eukaryota; Fungi; Ascomycota; Sordariomycetes; Hypocreales; Cordycipitaceae.
CAAUUAUACAGCGAAACUGCGAAUGGCUCAUUAUAUAAGUUAUCGUUUAUUUGAUAGUACCUUACUACUUGGAUAACCGUGGUAAUUCUAGAGCUAAUACAUGCUAAAAAUCCCGACUUCGGAAGGGAUGUAUUUAUUAGAUUAAAAACCAAUGCCCUCUGGGCUCUCUGGUGAUUCAUGAUAACUUUUCGAAUCGCAUGGCCUUGCGCCGGCGAUGGUUCAUUCAAAUUUCUUCCCUAUCAACUUUCGAUGUUUGGGUAUUGGCCAAACAUGGUCGCAACGGGUAACGGAGGGUUAGGGCUCGACCCCGGAGAAGGAGCCUGAGAAACGGCUACUACAUCCAAGGAAGGCAGCAGGCGCGCAAAUUACCCAAUCCCGACACGGGGAGGUAGUGACAAUAAAUACUGAUACAGGGCUCUUUCGGGUCUUGUAAUUGGAAUGAGUACAAUUUAAAUCCCUUAACGAGGAACAAUUGGAGGGCAAGUCUGGUGCCAGCAGCCGCGGUAAUUCCAGCUCCAAUAGCGUAUAUUAAAGUUGUUGUGGUUAAAAAGCUCGUAGUUGAACCUUGGGCCUGGCUGGCCGGUCCGCCUCACCGCGUGUACUGGUCCGGCCGGGCCUUUCCCUCUGUGGAACCUCAUGCCCUUCACUGGGCGUGACGGGGAAACAGGACUUUUACUGUGAAAAAAUUAGAGUGCUCCAGGCAGGCCUAUGCUCGAAUACAUUAGCAUGGAAUAAUGAAAUAGGACGUGCGGUUCUAUUUUGUUGGUUUCUAGGACCGCCGUAAUGAUUAAUAGGGACAGUCGGGGGCAUCAGUAUUCAAUUGUCAGAGGUGAAAUUCUUGGAUUUAUUGAAGACUAACUACUGCGAAAGCAUUUGCCAAGGAUGUUUUCAUUAAUCAGGAACGAAAGUUAGGGGAUCGAAGACGAUCAGAUACCGUCGUAGUCUUAACCAUAAACUAUGCCGACUAGGGAUCGGACGAUGUAAAUAAUUGACUCGUUCGGCACCUUACGAGAAAUCAAAGUGUU